AAUUUUCGGCAAUGGGGGCAACCCUGACCGAGCGACGCCGCGUGAGUGAAGAAGGUCUUCGGAUUGUAAAGCUCUGUUGUAAGGGAAGAACCGUACCAGUAGGGAAUGACUGGUACCUGACGGUACCUUAUUAGAAAGCCACGGCUAACUACGUGCCAGCAGCCGCGGUAAUACGUAGGUGGCAAGCGUUGUCCGGAAUUAUUGGGCGUAAAGCGCGCGCAGGCGGUUUCUUAAGUCUGAUGUGAAAGCCCCCGGCUCAACCGGGGAAGGUCAUUGGAAACUGGGGAACUUGAGUGCAGAAGAGGAAAGUGGAAUUCCAAGUGUAGCGGUGAAAUGCGUAGAGAUUUGGAGGAACACCAGUGGCGAAGGCGACUUUCUGGUCUGUAACUGACGCUGAGGCGCGAAAGCGUGGGGAGCAAACAG
RNAcentral lists this ribosomal RNA (423 nucleotides) under uncultured bacterium. RNAcentral's name for it is "partial 16S ribosomal RNA". It matches the Rfam family "Bacterial small subunit ribosomal RNA", at positions 360 to 775 of the family's 1533-position model. The record is from RNAcentral.